RNAcentral lists this long non-coding RNA (807 nucleotides) under Homo sapiens (human). Its description in RNAcentral is "non-protein coding lnc-KIAA0895L-2:1". The record is from RNAcentral. Lineage: Eukaryota; Metazoa; Chordata; Mammalia; Primates; Hominidae.
AAGCGCCCGUCUCCCAGCCCUGGUCCAUGCCUGGGACCAGAAGUGCAGAGAGCCGCUGUUCUCGCUCCCUCCCGUCAAACACUUGCCCCACAAGGUGGCGCCGGAGGGUCUGGACCACCGAGGGCCAUGCGGGCCUUGGCCUUGGUCCUGAAGCCGUAGUUUUGCUUGGUCCAGCUCCUCAGUGUCUGUCCUGCAGCUGGACGGGGCGCCUUCAGGGGCCUUGGCUCCAGUGGAAGCUGCGCUGGACGAGUUGCAGAGGAGGAUCUACCGCUUGGUGUUGGAGGCGCUGCAGGCGGAGCUCCAGCCCCUGUUCGCGGAUCUGCCCUCGCGCCAAUGGCUGUCGAGCCCUGAGCUCCUGCAAAGUGUGUGUGAACGGACGGGGCGCUUCUGCCGGGACUUCUGGCGCGUGCGGAACCCCACGGUUCAGCUGCUGCUGGCUGAGGCCGAGCGUGCCGUGGUGCUCCAGUACCUGAGCGCGCUGAUGCAAGGCCGCCUGGUGUGCCGCGGAGCCGACGAGAGGACCCAGGCGGCCGAGCGCCUGCGGCACGAUGCUGCCCAGCUUCAGCAGCUUUUCCUCAGUUUGCGAGGACCACGUCUCCGCCCUCUUGGGCCUGCGCGGGGACUUGUCCCGGGAGCAGCACCUGGCCGCGCUCAGCUCCCUGCAGGCUGCGCUGCCGCCGUCGCCCCGCGCGAGCCGCCGCGUCCUCUUCAGCCUAGUGCCCGCGCCCGCGCUCGCGCCGGCCUCCUGCCUGCCCUCGGGGUCCUGCGCCCGAGCCCUGCUGCUCGCAGAAUAAACCACGGCUGCCG